GGAAGUAAGUCGUAACAAGGUUUCCGUAGGUGAACCUGCGGAAGGAUCAUUAUUGUAUAACCGAGGUGCGAGGGCUGUCGCUGACCCGAAAGGUCGUGCACGCCCGAGUGCCCUCACACACAUCCAUCUCACCCCUAUGUGCACCACCGCGUGAGUCCCCCUUUGGCUUGUUCGGAGGGGGGCUUACGUUUUCACACAAACUUUGUAUGCAGUGUAGAAUGUAUUUUUUGUUCUUGCGAUCACGCAAUCAAUACAACUUUCAACAACGGAUCUCUUGGCUCUC
Molecule: unclassified non-coding RNA, 283 nt
Filed under: plant metagenome
Description: partial contains small subunit ribosomal RNA, internal transcribed spacer 1, and 5.8S ribosomal RNA
Rfam family: Eukaryotic small subunit ribosomal RNA (bases 1-52)
Source: RNAcentral